UUUUUUUAAGCACAAAUAUAACAAUCAAGCAUUAUCAAUUGGAUCCAUCAUAAUCGCAGUUAGAUACAAAGGCUAACCAAAGUAGGAUUAAAAGUCUGGCAGCAUUAAAACUGAGUUCAAAAUUGAAUCCACAAAGGAAAUCAAAGUAAUUUCUUUAACUCAUUUGAAACAGACUUAACAUUAGUGGCAAUUGAAAUAACCCACACAACAAAUCAUGGCCCUACUAGGACAACCAUCGAUACUUACACAAUUCCACGACAACGGAAACUGAACGGCGUUUGUCGGAAGCAUCUUCAUGAAUAUUCAGAAGAGUUCAUCCCUUUUUGCCUCGUGUAAGUUGCCGUCCCAUUUGCGUGUUGCUGCUGAGAUGCAACCAUAAAGAAGAAGCUUCCGUGUGUGGUAAUUUAACAGGGCAAGGAUUGGGUCCUAGACGGUGGUGUUUCGUGAGAUCCGACGGAGGAAGUUCGUCAUAUACGGAUCUUGAUGCAUACGAAGGGAUUUCGCACAGGAUUCGGCGAGUUGCGUGCGGAUAGCGGAUGUGUGUCGAGAUCGGAAGAGGGGUUUGAAGAUGAGGUUAUGAAUGUUUCAGUUAUGGAAACAGGAAGAAGAUUGAAGAUCUGCAAUUGGUGGUGAGAGCUUGAAGGUUGAGUUGGAAGAAGAAGACAGAAUUUGGGAUUUGUUUGUGGGUCACAUAUUUGGAGAAGAAAAGAGCAUUUUUUAUUUUUCUGUGUGUGUCACCUCUUUUCUUUUUUUUUAUUUUUUUUUAUUUUCGUUACAGGAGAGAUAAUGGUAACGUGUCCAAUGGGUGUCGUGGAAGCCAGAUGAAAAAUGAGAGAGGUCCCCCUUUUAUUUCUCAAAAAAAU
Molecule: long non-coding RNA, 863 nt
Filed under: Lathyrus oleraceus (garden pea)
Lineage: Eukaryota; Viridiplantae; Streptophyta; Magnoliopsida; Fabales; Fabaceae
Description: Pisum sativum (pea) long non-coding RNA (PSAT_LNC002135)
Source: RNAcentral